UUAAAUUCGCAUAAUAGGUUGGUUAGGAAUAUGAAAACUAAAGACGUUACGAAAACAAUCAAUUUUAGCAUGGUGAGUAGUUAAUCAAUCAAUCCCAAACAUCACAUCAAAUGCAAGUAUUUUCAAAGAGAUGAGAUCAACAAGUAAUGUGAAAGUGUUAAUUUGAAUCAAACAAGAUUUAUAAAUGGUGGAUGUAACGAAGCUUUCUCCCAACGGAGUUUCAAUAGAUAAGUCAAAGUCUAAUUUCUCUGGAGUUAAAUUUAAAUGUUGAGCACAAGUAGGUGAAAUAAAAGA
Molecule: long non-coding RNA, 294 nt
Filed under: Panax ginseng (ginseng)
Lineage: Eukaryota; Viridiplantae; Streptophyta; Magnoliopsida; Apiales; Araliaceae
Description: long non-coding RNA (PGIN_LNC002299)
Source: RNAcentral